CUGUGACAUCUCUCAUGACUGAUAAGACAAGCAGGGUGAAGUCAGAUUUGUUUUUCCUUUCAGCAACAUCACAAGAAAUGCAUUUUCUCACGUUGAGCUGGGAACAUCUGAUUAAGAACUCUGAAGGAGGAAGAACCCCA
Polypterus senegalus (gray bichir) is the source of this 140-nucleotide long non-coding RNA. RefSeq lists it as uncharacterized. The transcript has 3 exons. NCBI's taxonomy places the organism in Eukaryota, Metazoa, Chordata, Cladistia, Polypteriformes, Polypteridae. The record is from RefSeq and is a predicted model, not a curated record.